GGCUGGUCCUAAGGUAGUGAAUUAUCUCAGUUGACUGUUCACAGUCAGGUACAGAUCAAACUCCUAUUCUACUCUUUAUCCCCUUCUCGUUAUUGCCCUUGGGAAGACUUAA
This 112-nucleotide non-coding RNA is filed under the name Nomascus leucogenys (northern white-cheeked gibbon). Lineage: Eukaryota; Metazoa; Chordata; Mammalia; Primates; Hylobatidae. The record is from RNAcentral.